GGAGCCUGAAGGCCGCUGGUGGCCGAGGACCACUCCUGUGCUAGACACUCCAUGGGAGGUUCUGCACCCGGGGCCUGGAAUUAUCCUAGGGCUGUUAUGGUCAUCCCAUUUUACAGAUACAGAUGAAGAGGCUCCAAGACAAGUGAGGAAGUGGGGGUGCCAGGAUAUCAGCCCAGGUUUCUCAGACUCCAGGACACAGGACUGUGCCCAGAGCAGGGAACCACAGUGCAAUAUCUGGGGGGCCUCCUGGGGACAGAGGGGUCUGUGGCCCUGGGUAGUAGGAGGCAAGAGGCUUGGAAAUGAGGAGGCCUGUUGAUGCUGGCCUUGCAGGACUGGAAGCCCUUGAGGGUGAAGUGCUCCAUGGAGAUGGGGACCCAAGGCACCCACCCAGGGCAGGGGGACAGUGAUGCUUGAAGGAGUAGACAUCGAGAUCUGUUUUAUCACAUUGCUCGGGCCUACGAUGUCCUCCCAAAGCGGGCACCGUAGGUAUCUGCUCAAGGUCACCCCUCCUUGGCAGGACACAACAGCAGUUUCCCCUUCCAUGCCCCGUUUUACAUGCUGCGCUGCACAGGACGUCAAGAGCCGUGAGAUGGGGACUCCCACGUGGGGAAGCAUCCCCCCCAGGGCCGGACCUCAGCCUCAGCAACAACUGCCAGGCUUCCUUCCUUCCUUCAUCUCUCCAUCUGUUUCUUUAGCCACAAACACUGCUGCUGAAGCACCUAGUUACCUCCGGAAAAUCCGGCAUGCUUUUCCUGCCAGCUCUCCCCUUGCCUGUUGCAGUGGAAACUAAGCAUCUAGGAGACAAUUGCCAGCACUUUUCCCCAGAUCCGGGCUCUUUAAAUGGGGAUCUACCAACAACAUCUGAUGAAGCAUAGUUACAGCCACCACAUACCCAGCCCAGUAGCUGUCUAACCCCUGAAAAUCGCUGGAAAUGGAGAAAGGGGAUAUGGGGUCAGUGGGCAGCGAUGGUCUCUGGACGUGGGUUAUACAAGGCCCGACACACAAAUGUACACAGUCCGCAUAAUUUGGCCUAAAAUAAACAUGCUAACCACUGUACACAGGAAGAAAUGACAACCUAGCAGGGAUUUUGUUUGUUUUUUUUUCACAAGUUCGAGGCAUUGGGGGAAAUUGUGGUCCAGGUCCAGAUCUCUCCUGAAGCAGGCACACCCCUAAGGAUAGGUGAGGCAAUCAGUGGCUUCUUUUUAGGUCCCAUAAAUUCACUAUAGAAACUGCAGGCCUUGGGAAGCAACCCAUCAGUCUUAAGGGUAAACAUUAAAAAGACUAAGACCAGGGAUCCCUGGGUGGCGCAGCGGUUUGGUGCCUGCCUUUGGCCCAGGGCGCGAUCCUGGAGACCUGGGAUCGAAUCCCACAUCGGGCUCCCGCUGCAUGGAGCCUGCUUCUCCCUCUGCCUGUGUCUCUGCCUCUCUCUUUCUCUCUCUGUGACUAUCAUAAAUAAAUAAAUUGAAAAAAAAAAAAAAGACCAAGACCAGGGGCGCCUGGGUGGCUCAGUCAGUUAAGCCUUCUGACUCUUAAUUUCAGAUGAAGUCAUAAUCUCAGGGUUCUGGGAUGGGGCCCCAUGUAGGGAUCCCAGCUCAGCAGGGAGUCUACUUGUCUCCCUCGCCCUCUGCCCUUCCUCCUGCUCUCUCUCACUCUCUCUCUUAAAUAAAUAAACCUAAAACAACAACAACACACCAAGAUAAAACAAACAAAGGCAACUACUGAGUGCAGGUCAGGUUGGGGGGUGUGGUGGCUGCUGGAGCUUGCCCUCUAACCAGCACAUCUGGAUAUGAGAAUUGCAGAGGGACAAAGGGCAGAUGCAUGGGCUCCAGAGUUGAUCCUCCCUGGGUUCAAAUUGCUACGUGCCCCUCUUAGAGCCAUGUGACCUUAGGCAGGCCUCCCCCAAGCAUCGUGAACUUCCGUUUCCUCAUCUCUAAAACAGGUAUAAUAAUCAUCCUAACCUUGCAGGGCAGUGGUGAAAAGUUAAGAAGAUGAUAAAUGGGAAGUUACC
This 2008-nucleotide long non-coding RNA is filed under the name Canis lupus familiaris (dog). RNAcentral's name for it is "lncRNA (ENSCAFG00040015973.1)". The record is from RNAcentral. Lineage: Eukaryota; Metazoa; Chordata; Mammalia; Carnivora; Canidae.